This 441-nucleotide ribosomal RNA is filed under the name uncultured bacterium. RNAcentral describes it as "partial 16S ribosomal RNA". It matches the Rfam family "Bacterial small subunit ribosomal RNA", at positions 338 to 795 of the family's 1533-position model. The record is from RNAcentral.
CCUACGGGUGGCAGCAGUCGGGAAUAUUGCGCAAUGGAGGAAACUCUGACGCAGUGACGCCGCGUAUAGGAAGAAGUUUUUCGGAAUGUAAACUAUUGUCGGGAGGGAAGAAAAAGCACAGUACCUAAGGAGGAAGCUCCGGCUACCUACGGGCCAGCAGCCGCGGUAAUACGUAGGGAGCGAGCGUUAUCCGGAAUUAUUUGGUGUAAAGGGUGCGUAGACGGGAAAACAAGUUAGUCGUGAAAUCCCUCGGCUUAACUGAGGAACUGCAACUAAAACUAGUUAUCUUGAGUGCAGGAGAGGUAUGUGGAAUUCCUGGUGUAGCGGUGAAAUGCGUAGAUAUUAGGCGGAACACCAGUGGCGAAGGCGACUUACUGGACUGUAACUGACGUUGAGGCACGAAAGUGUGGGGAGCAAACAGGAUUAGAUACCCUUGUAGUC